UAGGGAAUCUUCCGCAAUGGACGCAAGUCUGACGGAGCAACGCCGCGUGAGUGAAGAAGGAUUUCGGUUCGUAAAACUCUGUUGUUAGAGAAGAACAGCGCAUAGAAUAACUGUUAUGCGUGUGACGGUAUCUAACCAGAAAGCCACGGCUAACUACGUGCCAGCAGCCGCGGUAAUACGUAGGUGGCAAGCGUUGUCCGGAUUUAUUGGGCGUAAAGCGAGCGCAGGCGGUCAAUUAAGUCUGAUGUGAAAGCCCCCGGCUCAACCGGGGAGGGUCAUUGGAAACUGGUUGACUUGAGUGCAGAAGAGGGGAGUGGAAUUCCAUGUGUAGCGGUGAAAUGCGUAGAUAUAUGGAGGAACACCAGUGGCGAAGGCGACUCUCUGGUCUGUAACUGACGCUGAGGUUCGAAAGCGUGGGUAGCAAACAGG
This 429-nucleotide ribosomal RNA is filed under the name Bacteroidota bacterium. RNAcentral describes it as "Bacteroidetes bacterium partial 16S ribosomal RNA". It matches the Rfam family "Bacterial small subunit ribosomal RNA", at positions 355 to 776 of the family's 1533-position model. The record is from RNAcentral. Lineage: Bacteria; Pseudomonadati; Bacteroidota.